Molecule: ribosomal RNA, 253 nt
Filed under: uncultured bacterium
Lineage: Bacteria
Description: partial 16S ribosomal RNA
Rfam family: Bacterial small subunit ribosomal RNA
Source: RNAcentral
UACGAAGGGGGCUAGCGUUGCUCGGAAUCACUGGGCGUAAAGGGUGCGUAGGCGGGUCUUUAAGUCAGGGGUGAAAUCCUGGAGCUCAACUCCAGAACUGCCUUUGAUACUGAAGAUCUUGAGUUCGGGAGAGGCGAGUGGAACUGCGAGUGUAGAGGUGAAAUUCGUAGAUAUUAGGAAGAACACCGGUGGCGAAGGCGGCCCACUGGCUCGACACUGACGCUGAGGUGCGAAAGCGUGGGGAGCAAACAGG